CUACGGGACGCAGCAGUCGAGAAUCUUCCGCAAUGCGCGAAAGCGUGACGGAGCAAUGCCGAGUGUGUGAUGAAGGUCUUAGGAUUGUAAAGCACUGUCAACAGGGACGAAGAUCUGACGGUACCUGUAGAGGAAGCACCGGCUAAAUACGUGCCAGCAGCCGCGGUAAUACGUAUGGUGCAAGCGUUAUUCGGAUUUAUUGGGCGUAAAGGGUCCGUAGGCGGUUUGUUAGUCCGAUGUGAAAUCCCACAGCUCAACUGUGGAACUGCAUUGGAAACUGGCAAACUUGAGUAUCGGAGAGGUAAGCGGAAUUCCUGGUGUAGCGGUGGAAUGCGUAGAUAUCAGGAGGAACACCGAGAGCGAAGGCAGCUUACUGGACGAAAACUGACGCUGAGGGACGAAGGCAUGGGGAGCAAAAAGGAUUAGAUACCCCCUUAGUC
This 440-nucleotide ribosomal RNA is filed under the name uncultured bacterium. Its description in RNAcentral is "partial 16S ribosomal RNA". It matches the Rfam family "Bacterial small subunit ribosomal RNA", at positions 339 to 795 of the family's 1533-position model. The record is from RNAcentral.